Molecule: long non-coding RNA, 2112 nt
Organism: Rosa chinensis
Lineage: Eukaryota; Viridiplantae; Streptophyta; Magnoliopsida; Rosales; Rosaceae
Exons: 2
Source: RefSeq, a predicted model, not a curated record
UUCGAUACAUGAUUUGGCUUAUUUCCACAGCUGAUGUCUACAAUGUCAAGAAAAAGAAACACAACUUGCAAGUUAACAUGUAUUGUGACUGAUAACUUUGAUAACCCAUUUUCUGAAACACUUCCAUAAAUCAAAACUGCAGAGAUAAAGAUGAUGAAAGUCUUAGAGCAUUACCUGAUUUUGACAAGCUUUGGGGGAGUCACAGUAAAACUGAUCUAUGAUUAUGGGAUUUGCUACAUCUUCCAUCCUUACGUUUUGGAAACGGACCCCACGAACAUAACCAGAACCUCCCUAUACAAAAACACCCCCAAGUGAAAAAAAAAAAAAAAGAAAGAAGGGAAAGUGUUCAUUAUAACAGCACUGUCUAUGUCAUCAUAAGAAAAAAAUCAUAUUAAUAGUAGAUUCAAAACCUGCCAAGUCUUAAUGCGGAGGCCAUUGGUAGUCUCCUUGAGGUAUGCUGUAUCCAAGACAAUUUUUGUCACUAUGCCGCUGGAGUUGUCCUUCCCUAGACUUCCGAUGCUGGUAACCCAAAUUUAUAACAACAAAUACAAUGAAAACAAAAUUAGAGUUCCAAUUAUCAUCACUUCUGGAUUGUCAUAGGACUCUUUUAUAGAGUUAAUGUACAAUCAAGGUAGAGAGUACCUGACUCCAUGUCCUGGUCCGCAAAAGAUUCUCUUCAUCUUAAUAUUUGAUGUAGCAUUGACAAUUGAGAUGCAGUCAUCUCCUGCAUAUCAUAUUCAGAAUCAACAUGAAACAAAAUGGAUCAGUGCUUUCAAUUUUGUUAUGGAUGCCAUGUGGUUGUGUACCUUUCAAUUGCAGCAUAUGUGGGCUUUAUUCAAAGUUAAUAGCUUAAUGUUCAAAUGUUUUCUUUCGGUUCUUUGCAUGUUAGCAGAUCUUGCAAGAUGCUUUUUAUAUUCUGAAUAGCCAUUUAUUUCAUUCCAGUUCCUCCUUUUAAGCUAUGAAAAGAGAUAAGAAAUAAUGAUUCACCUGUUCCAAUUUUGCAGUCUUGGAGAACCACAUUAGUAGAUGCAGUGAUAUGGAUUCCAUCAGUGUUAGGACUGUCUCCUGGAGCCGAGACUUGGACUGCAUAAACUCGUACGGAGUCACUCUGAGAGAUAGUAAAAUGCAUUUGUUGGCUGUUCUGGAUGGAUGAAGCCCACCAUUUACUGCCUGAUCCAUCAAUAACUCCAUGCCCUUGGAAAAGUACUCCAUUCAAUUUAUAGAAGUCAAGCCAUGUUCGUGGAAAUUUUGGAUCCCAGUUGUUAGGAUCAUCCGGUGCUACGAUUGUUCCCUCAAUCUGUUGUACCACAGUAAGACAGUAUGAUAUUAUCAUCGAUGGUAAUAUGCAUCAUAACUGCUAUGAAUUGUUCAAAACAGAUCCACAGAAGGUGAAUGUUAAUUGAGACAUGGAAAUUGUAUUACAAAUUACCUGGAUGACUAAGCCAUCUGCACAUGGCCCUUCAAAUCUUGUUGCAUUUACUAGAUAGCGGCGUCCUUGGGGUACCAGGAAAACAGCUUUUGUUGUAUUGCAUGCAAUAUCCCAAGCUUUUACAAAAGCCUAAUAUCAAGGGCAUUUCAGAAGAAUAUUUGUCAAAAAUCGCUGUGACGGAAACUAGUUCAAGUAAAGGAUUUAUUUUGCAGUCUAAAAUUGGCAAGUCAAAACAUGUGUGAAGCUCUUAUGGUUCAUUUUCUUUUUCCAUCAAACUACUGCUGAAUGCUGAUCACAACAUAUUGGAUAAGAUUCUAUCAGUUUAAUGGAAUCAAAAACCACUUCGCCAUGUGGAGCCUCUGAAUACUAGCAAGAAUUUAGUAAUACAAUAUACCUCAACCGAAUGAAGUGCUUGCAAAUGACAUGAAAUGUAAAAACUAACGGUUUAUAUAAUAUGCUCACCUGAGUAUCAUCAGAAACUCCAUCUCCAGUAGUACCAAAGCUAUCCACAUUAACAAGAACCUUGCUACCACGUUCACUUGUCCAUGACGGAAUCUCAAAGAUGUCCACCUCAUUGUCUUCUUCUAUGUCAAAGCUUUCAAGCUCAUCAAGAAUGCCAAUGUCAUCAUAAACAAUGUUUCCUGCAACUCCAUAAACUGCUAUCAGCAUACCAAGAAAAGAAA